Molecule: long non-coding RNA, 666 nt
Filed under: Daucus carota (carrot)
Lineage: Eukaryota; Viridiplantae; Streptophyta; Magnoliopsida; Apiales; Apiaceae
Description: long non-coding RNA (DCAR_LNC007026)
Source: RNAcentral
UAUCUGGCAAGAACGCAACAGGCGUUUGUUUCAAAAGAAAAAGAAGAGAGUUUGGCAGAUUGUUGCAGACAUUACGGAUGAUAUCCUCAAGAAAUUGCAGGGUCUGGUAGUUGUGAAUUCUUCGAGGGUGUGUGAGGAGCUUUCGAAGUGGGAUGUGUUCAGUGAGCGACCUUCAAUCCAAAUUUAAUGUGUAUGGAUUUCUGGUGGUUUUUAUCGAUGGGAUUAGCCUGGUGGAUUUGUUUCAGGUUAAUGCGGCUCUCUUGUUUUUUUCUGGGUAGUUUAGGCGCCUGGAUUGUGCAUUUGUUGAGCUGCAUGUGGUGGGGUUUUUAAUUUGUAUGGUCAAGUCUGGGAGGUUUUUGCACGCUUGGCUCAGAGUUUCUCCUGUUCGAUUAAGGUGGGAUAUAAUUCUGGGAAUUAUUUAAGUCAUCUCAUUCACUGCGAGAAUGUAUUUGGCCUAAUAUUAUUGAUGGAAUUUUCUGGUGGGGCUGGUGGUAUAAUUGGCAGGCCUGGGAUUUUAUUUUCAGCUGCUAUUUUCCUUAGUUUUUGCGCUGCGUGUGUCUGGUCGCUGAUCAGAGUUGGUUGCUAUGAUUUAAGAUCUGAAAAUCUGGUGGAUAGUGCUUCCUGCUGUGAUUUAAGGUCUGAGAUUCUAGCGUCUGGUGUUUGCUG